This 246-nucleotide long non-coding RNA is filed under the name Lathyrus oleraceus (garden pea). RNAcentral's name for it is "Pisum sativum (pea) long non-coding RNA (PSAT_LNC001998)". The record is from RNAcentral. Lineage: Eukaryota; Viridiplantae; Streptophyta; Magnoliopsida; Fabales; Fabaceae.
UUGAAUAAGUGACACAAGCAAUUAUUAACCCAGUUCGGUGCAAACUCACCUACGUCUGGGGGCUACCAAGCCAGGAAUGAAAACCACUAAACAAAAUUAGUUCAAAGACUCUUAGUAAACAACUUCAAGUUACAGUCUUUUCACCUAAUCUCUAACCGGGUGACAUCUAUCUAAGAACUCUUAGAUAUGAGCCCCUACUCACUACCCCUCAAUCACAAUAGUGAUAUAAAAACAAAUAUUACAAAG